Molecule: ribosomal RNA, 434 nt
Filed under: uncultured Ruminococcus sp.
Lineage: Bacteria; Bacillati; Bacillota; Clostridia; Eubacteriales; Oscillospiraceae
Description: partial 16S ribosomal RNA
Rfam family: Bacterial small subunit ribosomal RNA
Source: RNAcentral
ACGGAAGGCAGCAGUGGGGAAUAUUGCACAAUGGGCGCAAGCCUGAUGCAGCGAUGCCGCGUGAGGGAAGAAGGUUUUCGGAUUGUAAACCUCUGUCCUCAGGGACGAUAAUGACGGUACCUGAGGAGGAAGCUCCGGCUAACUACGUGCCAGCAGCCGCGGUAAUACGUAGGGAGCGAGCGUUGUCCGGAAUUACUGGGUGUAAAGGGUGCGUAGGCGGGACGGCAAGUCAGAUGUGAAAUGUAUGGGCUUAACCCAUGAACUGCAUUUGAAACUGUUGUUCUUGAGUGAGGUAGAGGUAAGCGGAAUUCCUAGUGUAGCGGUGAAAUGCGUAGAUAUUAGGAAGAACACCAGUGGCGAAGGCGGUUAGCUGGACAAUAACUGACGCUGAGGCGCGAAAGCGUGGGUAGCAAACAGGAUUAGAUACCCUGGUA